This is a non-coding RNA of Triticum urartu, 149 nucleotides long. NCBI's taxonomy places the organism in Eukaryota, Viridiplantae, Streptophyta, Magnoliopsida, Poales, Poaceae. The record is from Rfam.
CAACUACUCCCUCUGUCCGGAAAAGGUUGUCCUUCAAAUGGACGUAUCUAGCAUCAAAAUAUUUACUUUUAAUGUACAAAUUAUGCCAUUAGAUUUGUCAUUUGAAAGACAAGCUUGGGACAAGCUUUUCCGGACGGAGGGAGUAAUUA